This 253-nucleotide ribosomal RNA is filed under the name uncultured bacterium. RNAcentral's name for it is "partial 16S ribosomal RNA". It matches the Rfam family "Bacterial small subunit ribosomal RNA", at positions 524 to 776 of the family's 1533-position model. The record is from RNAcentral.
UACGAAGGGUGCAAGCGUUGUUCGGAUUUAUUGGGCGUAAAGCGCGCGCAGGCGGAUGGUUAAGUCAGGUGUGAAAUCUCGGAGCUCAACUCCGAAACUGCGCCUGAAACUGAUUAUCUAGAAUCUCGGAGAGGGAAGGGGAAUUUCACAUGUAGGGGUAAAAUCCGUAGAGAUGUGAAGGAACACCAGAGGCGAAGGCGCCUUCCUGGACGAGUAUUGACGCUGAGGCGCGAAAGCGUGGGGAGCAAACAGG